GAAGAACUGAUGAAGUCCACACCUUCAAGUUCAGCUUGGUACAACUUACUAGUUUCAUCAAGGAAGCUCUGCAUAAAAGGAUCCAAAAACCAACAUCACAUGGUAUAUGACAUUACUUCCAGAUGUGGGGCUCUUGGACCUCACCAGACUUCAUAACUGGCACCACCACCAUCUUUCUCCAGUCUAAUUAAAGACUUGUGUAUAAAGUUGUUCUACAAGGACACGUAAUUCAUGUUUGUUAUUUUCUGUGCUACAGCUGGCCUGACAGUGUCCUAACCUUUUGUUUGUGUUCUUGUUUCUUUCUGCAACAUGCAAGCUACAAAGGUAUUAUAAAGCAGAGGUGUGACAAUGCAUGCUCCCUCUUCUAAUUUGGGAGCCUCUUGAACCUGACACUGUAGACAGUCAUGACUGGGAUGAGCUAUACAAGUGAGGACACCACAAGAAACAAGGGGAAGUUGCUCCAACAUUGAUGGACUACAAACCAGACGUCUGCAUGAUCGUCAUCAAUGAGUCCUUCCAUGAGAACCCUAAAUACAAAGAGGACUGUUUCAUUUAUGUUAUUUAGAAUGCCCAGAGG
Polypterus senegalus (gray bichir) is the source of this 577-nucleotide long non-coding RNA. RefSeq lists it as uncharacterized. NCBI's taxonomy places the organism in Eukaryota, Metazoa, Chordata, Cladistia, Polypteriformes, Polypteridae. The record is from RefSeq and is a predicted model, not a curated record. The transcript is spliced from 3 exons.